GGUUAACGCUGGCGGCGUGCCUAACACAUGCAAGUCGAACGGUUCUAAGCGCGAGCUUAGGAUAGUGGCGAACGGGUGAGUAAAAGGUAGGAAUCUACCCCUUGGACGGAGAUAGCUACUGGAAACGGUAGGUAAACUUCGAUAAGCCCGAGAGGGGAAAGUGGUGAGACAGCCGAGGGAUGAGCCUACUCUCCAUCAGGUAGUUGGUGAGAUAAAAGCUUACCAAGCCGAUGACGGAUAACCGGUGUGAGAGCAUGAACGGUCACAAGGGCACUGAGAUACGGCCCAGACUCCUACGGGAGGCAGCAGCUAAGAAUAUUCCGCAAUGGACGAAAGUCUGACGGAGCGACGCCGCGUGGAUGAAGAAGGCCGAAAGGUUGUAAAAUCCUUUGUUGGGGAAGGAUAAGCGUGGGAGGGAAUGCCGCGUGAUGACAUGAACCGACGAAUAAGUCCGGCUAACUACGUG
This 466-nucleotide ribosomal RNA is filed under the name uncultured bacterium. Its description in RNAcentral is "bacterial SSU rRNA". It matches the Rfam family "Bacterial small subunit ribosomal RNA", at positions 28 to 507 of the family's 1533-position model. The record is from RNAcentral.